This is a regulatory RNA element of Paenibacillus stellifer, 168 nucleotides long. It matches the Rfam family "PyrR binding site". Rfam says of the family: This family represents the PyrR binding site and terminator structure. NCBI's taxonomy places the organism in Bacteria, Bacillati, Bacillota, Bacilli, Caryophanales, Paenibacillaceae. The record is from Rfam.
AGCGCCUUUAAAUCAGUCCCGUGAGGCUGGCAAGGUUACGUGAAUCGAGGUUCGCGGUUUUAUUGAAGGAAUCCGUCUGUCUGUACGGAGUUCUUUUGCUGCGCACCCACCAUCACUCUACAUUCGCGGAUUUCACUCCUUGCCCGGUUCGGGCAAGGAGUUUUUUGA